AAUGGCUCUCAGAAUGUUGU
This 20-nucleotide microRNA is filed under the name Sarcophilus harrisii (Tasmanian devil). Its description in RNAcentral is "Sha-Mir-12475-P23_3p* (star (passenger))". Lineage: Eukaryota; Metazoa; Chordata; Mammalia; Dasyuromorphia; Dasyuridae. The record is from RNAcentral.